Molecule: ribosomal RNA, 429 nt
Filed under: bacterium
Lineage: Bacteria
Description: partial 16S ribosomal RNA
Rfam family: Bacterial small subunit ribosomal RNA
Source: RNAcentral
UAGGGAAUCUUCCACAAUGGACGCAAGUCUGAUGGAGCAACGCCGCGUGAGUGAAGACGGUUUUCGGAUCGUAAAGCUCUGUUGUUGGUGAAGAAGGAUAGAGGCAGUAACUGGUCUUUAUUUGACGGUAAUCAACCAGAAAGUCACGGCUAACUACGUGCCAGCAGCCGCGGUAAUACGUAGGUGGCAAGCGUUGUCCGGAUUUAUUGGGCGUAAAGCGAGCGCAGGCGGAGUGAUAAGUCUGAUGUGAAAGCCCACGGCUCAAGCGUGGAACUGCAUCGGAAACUGUCAUUCUUGAGGGCAGAAGAGGAGAGUGGAAGUCCAUGUGUAGCGGUGGAAUGCGUAGAUAUAAGGAAGAACACCAGUGGCGAAGGCGGGUCUCUGGUCUGUAACUGACGCUGAGGCUCGAAAGCAUGGGUAGCGAUCAGU